Long non-coding RNA from Cyprinus carpio carpio, 1791 nucleotides. The record is from Ensembl. Lineage: Eukaryota; Metazoa; Chordata; Actinopteri; Cypriniformes; Cyprinidae.
AUUUUUUAUUUCUUUCAUGGCAGAAUCAAGCUUUCAUAAGAAACAGACAACCUCAUAAAGAGUUUACCUGCCCUGGGGUCAGAGGUCACAGUUUAAAUCUGUGUUCAUAUAUGAGUGUUGUUAGUAUUAGUAUCUGUCUGUAUUUCUUGUUACUUUAUUGCAGGUUUUGUGGUUCUAAACACAGAUGCUUUUAAUAAUAAGAUGUUCCUUGUGAUUGUGCUGUGCAUUCUUCAUGUUUAAAGCUGUUUUUCUCCUGCGUCUGCAGCGUGAUCUCCAGCGGAUGCUGAUGGAUGGACCCUCCUUGCCUCUCUGUUGAUUCAGCAGUUGGAUUCAGCAUUUUCCAGGAAAAUUACCUCUUCUUCAGGACGGAAGAAGCUCGGCUGCACGACUGGCUCUUCAGCAGGACCAUCAAUCCAUUAUUAACAGAUGUUUAAAUAUGCCACAUGCAUGCAAUCGGGAAUCAUGUUUGCAAGGUUCAGAAGCAUCAUUUCAUCCAGUGAGAUCAGAUGUUUCAUGCUUUAGGUUAGGUUUAUGCCUCCAGAUCUCUGCAUCUCCUGUAAUCGAUCUGACCGUGUUGUGUCCGAGUCACAUGACCGCCGUGACGGAGCUCGCCGCUCUGGAGGAGAACCUGGCUGGGUUUUCCUGGUGCAGUCUGUCCUGGUCCUCCCAAAUUAAUCAGAUUUACUGAGCCGGCCAUAUGUUCAGACAGCGUGAUCCUGCCCACCCUAAACCCCGAUCAGCCUCCUCUGAACAUCUCAGGUCAGCACUCAAGAACACCGCUUCUUCACUGGCUUUCAGCAACAAGGCUCUUCAGAGGUUCUUAGAUUUAUAACACGCGUGAUCAUGCAUUUCCUUCCUUAUUAAAUCAUGUCUGAAAGCAGCCCAGACAUCUACAAACUUGGAUUUCUUUUUACUAGGAAUAGUUCAGCCAAAAAUGAAAAUGUUCUCUCAGGCCAUCUGAGAUCAGGAUGAGUUUGUUUGUUCAUCAGGUUUGUAGAAAUGCAGCAUUGCAUCAGUGUCUCAGCAGUGAAUGCUCUGCAGUGAAUGGGUGCCGUCAGAAUGAGAGUCCAAACAGCUGAUAAAAACAUCACAAUAAUCCACAAGUAAUCCACAGCACUCCAGUCCAUCAGUGAACAUCUGGAGAAGACAAAAGCUGAAACAAAUCCACCAUUAAGAUGUUUUUAACUCAAAUACAUAGAGUCUAUAAUCCAUAAUAACACUUCCUCCAGUGAAAAAGUGUUCUGGUGUGAAUCAGGAGAGAAAUCUGCACAGAUCAAGCAGCAUUUAAACAGCUCUAAACAAAUAUGUGUCUGGAUUUUGAUGUGAGAGACAACAGCAGAUGCACUUUUUCACUGGAGGAAGUGUUAUUAUGGAUUAUGGACUCUAUGUAUUUGAGUUAAAAACAUCUUAAUGGUGGAUUUGUUUCAUCUUUUGUCUUCUCCAGAUGUUAACUGAUGGACUGGAGUGCUGUGGAUUACUUGUGGAUUAUUGUGAUGUUUUUAUCAGCUGUUUGGACUCUCAUUCUGACGGCACCUAUUCACUGCACUGGUAAAACUUGUUGUGAUCUUUGACUGUACAUUCAGUCACACCUGUCUGUUUAUUUGACUCUCCUCAGGUCUUUAGGCCAAUAACGACUGUGCUGCUCUUCUAAGACGCCACUAAACAUGUGAAACACAUUUAAUGAGGUGCAACUGUGAGUCCUGAGGGGAAAUACUUCGGUAAGUCUUCACCGCUGUCUAUUACACCUGCCUUUGUGUCCAAAUAUUUACCUGAAACAUGAUGCGGUGAAGU